Molecule: ribosomal RNA, 420 nt
Filed under: uncultured eukaryote
Lineage: Eukaryota
Description: SSU rRNA
Rfam family: Eukaryotic small subunit ribosomal RNA
Source: RNAcentral
CAAUAGCGUAUAUUAAAGUUGUUGCGGUUAAAAAGCUCGUAGUUGGAUUUCUGCCGAGGACGACCGGUCCGCCCUCUGGGUGAGUAUCUGGCUUGGCCUGGGCAUCUUCUUGGAGAACGUAUCUGCACUUGACUGUGUGGUGCGGUAUCCAGGACUUUUACUUUGAGGAAAUUAGAGUGUUUCAAGCAGGCAUACGCCUUGAAUACAUUAGCAUGGAAUAAUAAGAUAGGACCUCGGUUCUAUUUUGUUGGUUUCUAGGCCCGAGGUAAUGAUUAAUAGGGACAAUUGGGGCAGUUCGUAUCAACACGUCAGAGGUGGAAUUCUUGGAUUGUGUUGCGACGAACUACUGCGAAAGCAUUUGCCAAGGAUGUUUCAUUGAUCAAGAACGAAAGUAAGGGAUCGAAGAUGAUUAGAUACCAU